Molecule: transfer RNA, 88 nt
Filed under: Mycobacteroides abscessus subsp. abscessus
Lineage: Bacteria; Bacillati; Actinomycetota; Actinomycetes; Mycobacteriales; Mycobacteriaceae
Description: tRNA-Ser(gct)
Rfam family: tRNA
About the family: Transfer RNA (tRNA) molecules are approximately 80 nucleotides in length. Their secondary structure includes four short double-helical elements and three loops (D, anti-codon, and T loops).
Source: RNAcentral
GGAGACGUGGCAGAGCGGCGAAUGCGGCGCCUUGCUAAGGCGUAGUCGACCCAGGUCGACCAAGGGUUCGAGUCCCUUCGCCUCCGCC